AGGGGGCAAAGUACUGCUGAAGCACCACUUGGGGAAAACCAACCAGAUUUUGGUAAAAACACGGAUUUCAGGGUAGGAAACCAACCGGAUUUUGGUAAAAACACGGAUCUCAGGGUAGGAAACCCCCCUGAUUUUGGUACAACCCCAGAUCUCAGGGUGGGCUCCCAUUCCCCCCUGAUUUUUGGGAUUUUUUUCCCCUCUCCCCCCUCAGACAUCCGCCUGCGGGUGCGAGCCGAGUACUGCCAGCACGACUCCGCCCUGCAGGGCAACGUCUUCUCCAACAAGCAGGAGCCCCUGGAGCGGCAGUUCGAGCGCUUCAACCAGGCCAACACCAUCCUCAAGUCCCGCGACCUGGGCUCCAUCAUCUGCGACAUCAAGUUCUCCGAGCUCACCUACCUGGACGCCUUCUGGCGGGAUUACAUCAACGGCUCCCUGCUCGAGGCCCUCAAGGGCGUCUUCAUCACGGACUCGCUCAAACAGGCCGUGGGCCACGAGGCCAUCAAGCUGCUGGUCAACGUGGACGAGGAGGAUUAUGAGGUGGGGCGCCAGAAACUCCUGAGGAACUUGAUGCUCCAAACGGCUCCCUGAGGGGAGGAGGGGGGGGGUUGCUUUUCCCUUUUUUCCUUUCUUUUCCCUUUUUUUCUUUCUUUUCCCUUUUUUUCUUUCUUUUCCCUUUUUUCCUUUCUUUUCCCUUUUUUUCUUUCUUUUCCCUUUUUUCUUUCUUUUCCCUUUUUUCCUUUCUUUUCCCUUUUUUUCUUUCUUUUCCCUUUUUUUCUUUCUUUUCCCUUUUUUCCUUUCUUUUCCCUUUUUUUCUUUCUUUUCCCUUUUUCCUUUCUUUUCCCUUUUUUUUCUUUCUUUUCCCUUUUUCCUUUCUUUUCCCUUUUUUUCUUUCUUUUCCCUUUUUUUCUUUCUUUUCCCUUUUUUUUCUUUCUUUUCCCUUUUUUUCCUUUCUUUUCCCUUUUUUCUUUCUUUUCCCUUUUUUUCUUUCUUUUCCCUUUUUUUCCUUUCUUUUCCCUUUUUUCCCCCUCCUCUUUUCCCGCCUUUUUUGUUUUCCCGCCUUUUUCCUUUUCCCACCUUUUUUGUUUUCCCGCCUUUUUUUUCCCUCCUUUUUUGUUUUCCCUCCUUUUUUUCUUCUUCCCCCUUUCCCCACCUUUUAUUUUCCUGCCUUUUUUUCCUCCUCCCCCCUUUUUUUCCCUUUUUCCCCCUUUUUUUCCCCCUUUCCCCCCCUUUUCCCCUCAGAGUUUCUUUCUCUGGAUUUUCCUCCUCCUCCUCCUUUUUCUUCUUCUCCUUCAGGUUUUUUUGGGGUUGUUUUCCCAGAGGCAAUCCCGGUGGGAUCUGGGGGGUCGGAGGUGUGUGGGGAGCGCUGGAAUAUUCUGGAAUUCCACCCUUUCUGCCCCGUCCCUUCCUCCUCCUCGUCUUUUCCAUGUUUUUCCCCCCCCAAUUUUCUUUUGUAUCCGUUAAAAACCCCCAAAAAAGGCAAAAAUCCCCUCGGAUGGCCCGAGGGACCCGGCGGGAUUGGGGGCUCGGAGCUGCAGGGAGCCCUGGAAUCUCGGAAUAUUCCAGAAUUCCUCCCUUUUCCCGCCUCAACUCCUCGUGUUUUCCACGUUUUUCCCCCCGUUUUCUUUCGUGUCCAUUAAAAACAACAACAAAAAAAAAAGGCAAAAAUCCCGUUGGUUCCCCUGAGGGUGGGAUUUUGGGGGAGGGGGAGCACCGGAAUAUUCUGGAAUUCCGCACUUUUUGCCCUGUCGGUUCCUCCUCCUCGUGUUUUCCAUGUUUUUCCCCCCCCCAAUUUUCUUUUGUACCCAUUAAAAAACCACCAAAAAAAAAAAGGCAAAAAAGCCCCUGUUGCUGCCACACGGUGGGAUUUGGGGGGUUGGAGCCGCAGGGAAGCCCUGGAAUAUUCUGGAAUAUUCUGGAAUUCCUCCUCACUUGGGCCCUGUCGCUUCCUCCCUCUCCUUGUGUUUUCCAUGGUUUUUUCUCCCCCUAUUUUUCUUUUAUAUUCAUUAAAAACAAACAAAACAAAAAAAAGGCAAAAAUCCCCUUGAGUUCCCUUGGGGGGGUUUGGGGUUGGAGAUCCAGUGGAAUAUUCCAGAAUCCCUCGCUUUAUUCCUGUCAAACUCCUUCCUCUCCUCGUGAUUCCCGGGGGGUUUUCCCUCUUUUUCCCACCUUUUCUUUCCCAUCCACUAAAAACAACAACAAAAAAGGGCCAAAUUCCCAGGUUUUGGGGUGAUUUUCCCCUCAGUUUGUCCUCAAUUUUUCCCGUUUUCCCCCCAAAUUUCAUUUUUCCCCUAGAGGGUUUUCCAGGAUUCACCCAAAAAAUUGCAAUUAAGCCCCCCAAAAAUGGCCUUUUCCCAGAAAAAAUGGCCACUUCCCUCCUAAAACAGUUGUUUUAACCCCAAAACUGUCCAUUUUCCUAAAAAAAAUCCCAUUAUUCACCAAAAAUAACCAUUUUCCCCCAAAAAAUUCCUAUUAUACGCCAAAAAAUAACCAUUUUCCCCCCAAAAUGGCCUUUCUCACCCCCUAAAAAUGGCCAUUAUACCUCAAAACUGGCCAUUUCACCCCAAAAAAAUGGCAUUGCACACCAAAAAUUACCAUUUAAUCACUAAAAACGGCCCCCCCUCCCCAACAAUUCAGCCACGUUUUGGGGUCAUUUCCUGUCAUUUCUGUAUUUUUAAAAUCACAGCAGAACAAAAAUCCCCCCUCGAGGCUCCUCCUCCCUCCAGGACCCCCCAAAUUAGGGAGGGACCCCCAAAAAGAGGGCAGGACCCCCCCAAAAAUAGGGGGUGUGGCUUCAGUGCUUGGGGGGGGGAGCCCAUUUUGGGGGAAAAGGGGCUGAUUUAGGGCAAAUUGGGGCAAAAUAGGGAUUUUUAGGGCAUCAGUGUCACCCCUGGGGUGACCCCAAAAAGGGGGUGACCCCCAGGGAAGGGGGGGACCCCAAAAAGAGGGGGGCACCCCAUUGCUGGGGUGCUGAGCAGGUUGUGGGGCUGCAUUUUGGGGAGAAAGGGGCUGAUUUGGGGCAGGUUUGGGGCAGACUUAGAGGAGAUUUGGAGCUGAUUUGGGGCAGAUUUGGGGCUGAUUCAGGGCAGACUUAGAGGAGAUUUGGGGCAGAUUUGGGGAUGGUUUGGGGCAGGUUUGGGGCUGACUUAGAGGAGAUUUGGAGCUCAUUUGGGGCAGAUUUGGGGCUGAUUCAGGGCAGAUUUAGGGCAGAUUUGGGCUCAAAUGCAGGUUUU
This 3230-nucleotide long non-coding RNA is filed under the name Manacus vitellinus (golden-collared manakin). RNAcentral's name for it is "lncRNA (ENSMVIG00005009601.1)". The record is from RNAcentral. Lineage: Eukaryota; Metazoa; Chordata; Aves; Passeriformes; Pipridae.